This is a long non-coding RNA of Macaca mulatta (Rhesus monkey), 1834 nucleotides long. RefSeq lists it as uncharacterized. The record is from RefSeq and is a predicted model, not a curated record. NCBI's taxonomy places the organism in Eukaryota, Metazoa, Chordata, Mammalia, Primates, Cercopithecidae.
GAAGUCGGGCAUCGUGUGGGGCGGGAAGCUGUGGCUGCAGGAAGCCAGGGGUGAUGUCCUUCCUGCAGAGUCUCUCGAGCCCCGAACUUGCGGGAAGAAAGGCCUCCCCCCUUUCACCUCGUUCGGGUUGGUUUGCGCUGGAAUGCCACGCUUUUCAAAGUGUCUGAGUGAUAGGCACUUUCUAAAUAUGUACAGCGAUGGCCUGAUAAGCAACCAAGCGUCUGGCUUCGCGGGUUCAUGCCCGAGGCUGUGCGGUCGGGAAGGGUGGGGGCUCAGCUGAAACCUCAGCUCCUCCUUACAGGCCUGGCUUGGAAACGGUUCUGUUCACUGCUGGGGUCCCCAUUUUCCAACUUUUACUUUUGAGACUGGAAGAAGACAAGAGACACCUCCCCACCCCCUAUCCUCUGCUUCCACGCCUGCGACUCAGCCCAGGUGACCCAAACGGCUGAGUCAACUUGGCGCAGUCGGAGCGUCCCCAUUGCGCCGGCCGCCCCCAGCCCCCUUCGCCCCUCGCUUGGCCCCACAAUGCGCCCUUGUGCCGCGCCUGCAGUCAGGCCGGGGAUUUGGCGCAGGGAUGGGGGGAAUAUUCGUCAGAUAUUUAAAACAGAGCCGAGAGAACAAAGCAGGUCUUUGUGCAGCGAGGCGGCCCGGGAGCUGGGAGCCGCCGGCCCCCGAGCACGGUGCUGGGCCAGGCGAAUGCGCAUGCGCUUGGCGACCUGCGAGCUCGGGUUCCGGGCCGGCUUCUACCCAGGACACAUGGCUCAAGAUAAAAUGAUACACCACUUGAGAACCCAAAUUUUCAAUGACUGGAAAGACUAAGACACUUGGGUCACGUAAAAAUCAAGACAUUUGGAAAAUACGCCAUCUUCGGAUGCUAGAAGAAGAUGGAACCUUUUGAUAGGCGUGGGCUUCUUCCGGCUUGUUUAUGCUGGGUGACCGGCUCUUUCAUUUUUGUGUUCACUGUCACUUGGAAUUUGGAAGACAUGCUGGUUGUUGUCAAGGACCUGGCUUUUGUUUUGGGUUGUGGGCUGACUGGAUGGUGUUUGUUUAUUAAAAAAAAAAAAACAAACCGAAAAACUAAAUAGCUAAAUACAAGUGAAGUGUGCAUGGUACAAAGAUGAGAUUGUGUCAUGAACCGAGAAAUAUGUAAUUAAUGAAAUUCUAUGCAGAAGAAAGAAAGAAAGAAGAGGAAAUUAGUAGCUAUUUAAAUACAUUAUGUUAUUGGGGAAGGAAAUAAAGUUUCUCAAGUAAGGUAGAGUAGGAGCAACUUGGGGGGAGGUGGCAUGUGCAAAGUACCCCCGUUCUGCUUUAUAUUGACAGUGAUUGCACCCCAUAGGUAAUGGGGACUGGCAGACAGAGGCUGGGGGAAGCCAAUGGCAGGCUUAGAAGUGAGUUACUGUGCUUGAAUUAUUCAGAUGGGUGAGAAAGGCAGUCCCAACCAGAUGAUUUCACAGCCUUCCAAACGCGGCUCCUGGAGCAUGUCCAGUGAGGUUAGAUGGACCUCCCCCAUCAGACACGUCAAGGGGAGUGCAAGGACUUAAUGGAGGUCUCGUGACUUGUAUGCUAGGACCCUGCAGUAGCCCACCCUGCUCUGACUGUGGACACACAUCUGAGGAAUUUAUGACCUUCUUUAUCCUUCAUAGCUCAAUUACCUGGUGGUCACAAGAAAGCAAAGGGAUUUUUAUGUGACAUCAUCUUGGCAAGAAGCUCCCUUACCAACCUUGACCUCUAGGUCUCCAUGGCAAUUGCUGCUGGGACAUCAUUGGCACCAGAUUGUGCCCCUUAAAGGCCACACUGCAGCAAGGGCAGAUAAACAAUUUCAUGGCAACAGUCA